GGUCCGCCUGUAAUAAAGCGCUGCAUAAGAUACAGCGGAAGUUUAAUUUUUUAUUCUAAAUUUAUUGGCCGUUAGAUUACUUUAUAAGCAAUCCAACGGCUUCGUAAUUUUAGGCAUAAAAUAGGUCACCGAAACAGAUGGUGGAACACUGGAAUCGGCAAAUAUCCUGGUAAUUAUCACUUUGCUCCCUCAUCUUUUAACUAAAUAUUAAAGACUUCACUUAAUUUAGACGACUAUCAAAGACCCCCUAACAUAAUACUGCUGUACGGCCAAGGCGGAUGUACGGUACAGCAGUUUUUAUUUAAUAUUAUUUUCCUUGCUUUAUCAGGGUUUAUCUCUCCCCCCCCCCAACAAAAAAAAGUAGGAGAUAAAUUUUGUAUCCUGUAUUAGCUACAAUGUAUUAUUCAUGGCCAUAAAAGACAUAUUAUUUCUAAAGUUGUGAUUAUGAUACUUUUGGACACUAUAUCUUAUAACUUGGGCAUUUUAGAUAUUUAAGUUUUAAUAAUUUUGUUAACUAUCAUAUCACCUUACAGUGCCCAGACUAGGGCAUUGUACUAUAGUGGUUGAUUAGGCCUAUUUCUCGUCAACAUAUUUCUUUUAUGAGCAUAUGAAAUUUUGAAAAGAUGAUAGCCACCCAUGUUUGCUGUAAAACAAAAAGAGUAGUUUUAUUUAUCUUUUUUAACCUUUUAACUAAAGGCAAUCCCUAAGUUACAUUUCAUUAUUUGCUAAAAACUUAUGGUUUACAGAUUAUAAUGAAAAAUGAGAAGUUAUAACGGUCAAUCGAUGAAUUAAUAUCUUUUUUUAGUUUUCAAAGACCUUAUACUCCUUGUCUAAUCUAUUAUUGAUAUGCAACCUAUGACUAAAACUUAACUUUUUAUAAAUUCUUAUUUAAUAACUACCUCUCGCUCUAUUUGUAUUUUACUUACGAAAAAUUCAGUUAAGAAGAGAAUUCUCAAUAAUUUUUUAUCUGUCAGUUUCAAGUAAAAGUUUUUGAUAAUUUUAUAAAGUUUCUUACCAAAUAUUAAGAAGCCGUAUGAUCAGUUUUAAAUUCGAGUUAAGAAAUUAACUUAUUCUAGUAUGAAGUUAUUUUUUAUGUUACUUAAUAAAAAAAAGUAUUCAAAGAAGUUAACAUUUAUGCUGUGUUUACUUGCUGGAGUGGGAGUGAGGAGUGUGGAUUCCUCCCACUCCAGCAUUUACUUCCUCUAAUUAGGAAGGGAGUGGGAAUCCCACUCCGUGGGCCCCACCCAUUUUUGGAGUGGGGAGUGGGAGUGGGACUCCGAUUGGGGGAGGUGGGAGUGGGAAUCCACUCCCACCUCUCCCUUUUUUACCCUUUUAUUUUUUUAAUUUAAUAUUUUAUAAUUAAUAAAAUAAAAUAAAAUAUUAUUUUACAUAAUUGUGCUUAGAUUUUUUUAAAAACAAUUGUGCAACAUAUAAUUUUCAUCAUUAUAUUUAGUUUUAAAAAUUAUUUCUUUAAUCUCUCAUCAAUCUUUAGCUUAAGAUUGACAAAGUAACAUUGACUUAAAUCCAGUUCUAUUAAGUCGCCAUUAAUUUAUCUUUACCAAGUACAUUAAACACAAUAAAAGUAACUCAAAUUAAACAAUAAUUUUAUAAACACAUUAGAAAAUCAUUGCAAUCAAGGAAAAAGAAAAUAUAUUAAAUAUUAAAAUUAAUUUUCUCUAAUAGAAAAAUUCAAUGCUAUAAUUUUUAAGAGAAAUUAUCUCUACACCAUCUUUCUUUUGGAGAACAAAUUAAAAAAAAAAAAAGUUCAUUUACAGCCAAUGCUAAUUCUUGUUCACUACUCAACUAUGCACCAUUAGAGAAAAAAAGAUAAAAUAAUCCCAAGGGAUUAUAGAAAACUAAUUUUAUUAUUUCUAUUUCCCCUUUGAUCUGGAGACAGCCAGCUGAAGCUUGGGCUGCUCACCAGCCUUACUUGGAUUCAACCACUUGAGAGGAUGCCAAUAGCAGUUUCUGCGUCAAAUGCUUUGCAAUAUUUUCCCUUGCCAAUCAUUCUAUAUUGGAAGCAUAAAACAUUAAAAAAAAAGACUUAUAAAAAAAUGAAAUGACAAUUCAAAAUGUUAUAUAAUUUAAGUUAAUUACAAAACUUUAACAAGACAAGAAAAAAAUUAAGAACAUUAAUCGUGAAAAAAAUUAAUAAUGAUUAAAAAAUAUAUAUCUUAAUGUAUGAAGCGACAAACGAAACCUUAGGCCUAAAGGAUAUAUUUUUUGAUGAAAUUUUAAAAAAUAAAUUUUAUAUUUUCUUUUUAGGUUUCUGAACAAUAAAUAAAGUUAUUUUAAAAAAAAAGUAUCAAGAAUAAUAAUAUAAAAUAUGAAAAUUUAAAUAAUAUACAAAAAUUAUUAGAAUUAAAAAUUGUGAAAAUGGGUAAAUAUGUUUUCAUUUAGGCAGUAGUUUUCCUGCCUAGAUGAAGCAAAAUUCUUUUAGUGUUAUAUCAAAAUAAAAAAAAUUAAUUGAAUACUAUUUAGAGUAAUAUAUUAUAUAAUUUUUUUAAAUUUACAAUUUAUAUGUACAUUAUAAACUAUAAUUUAAUGGUAUUUGAUAAUCUGUAUACAUGCACUUUAUGGUAAAGUCCAACGAUCCACCGAAUAUUAACUCAAAAACCUACUCCCAUAAAUAUACAAAGAGAUACAUACUUUAUUUUAAAUAACAAUGUAAUAUUAUAGUUACAUUAUUAAUUAUUUAGCUUUUAUAGUAUAAUGUCGACAAUAAUUUACAAUGAUAAUUAGCAACAUUUCUCAAUAAAUUAUUAAAAAGUUUAUUACGAUAAAAUGUUGUUAUAUUUAGAACAUACGCUCAUUUUGAUUAAAAGAAAAGUGAUAUUGAUAAAAUUAUCAUAUAUGUGUUCAAUUUACCAAUAAUAAUAGUAAGGCUAACAAAGAUACUUAUUAACAACAUUAGUAAUGGAUAUUAAGAGUUAUAGUAUCAUUAAUCAUAAUACUAGUAAUAAAACAAUAUCAUUAAAUAUUAACAUUACAUGUAAUCAUGUAUAAGCUCCUAUAACAAUUCAUAGAAUUUUUUGUGACUUCUGCUGUACCGUACAUCCGCCUUGGCCGUACAGCAGAUCUAAGCACAAUUAUGUAAAAUAAUAAAAUGAGCAUUAAUAUGUAAAAGAUCAAAAGUUUAAAGUAUACAUACGAUUAAAUUCAAGAAAUACCAUGAAGUAACAAAGACCGUUGGGGGCCGGGGGGGAGGGGAGUGGACUUAUACAAAUUCAUAGUGUUGAAAAAAAUUGAGGGUUGCAACAAUGAUUUUUCAAAAUUAUAUUGUAAGUUGAUAUUUAUUAAAAAAAAGCGGGGUCAAACGCAAUUUACCUCAAUAUUUUAAUGUUUUACUAUAAUAAAAUGUGACUCGUAACAACCACCUAAAAUGUUGGCAUACAGUAAAAACAUUUGGAAUAUAAAACCAAAAAAAUGGUAGAAGUAACUAUUAAAGAGCUGAACCCAUAAAUUGGAACGACUUACUGAUGAUUUAGUAAAUUUCAAUGGGAACUAGAGACAUGAAAAAUAAACUUGAAACACACACCUACAUGUUGGAAUUCAAUAAAAAGUCUUGGUAUAUAGAACCAAAAAAUAGUGGGAAAAAAGUGGGAGAGUUAACCUGAAAGUUGGAAUUACGCAACGAUAGUUUGAUAAAUUCCAAUGGGAAAUAGGGACUAAGAAUUGAAUUUGAAACUUUCACCCAAAAUGUUGGAAUUCAUUAAAAAAAACCUGGAAUAUAUAACUAAAAGGUACUGGAAAUAAAAGUUGAAGAACUUAAUACAAAAGUUGGAAUAACUUAUUAAGAAUUUGAUAAAUUCUAAUGACAAGUUGGAAUCUAAAAAAUAAACUUGAAACUUCUAUUCAAAAUAUUGGAAUUCAUUAAAAAAAGUAGAAAUAUAGAACCAAAAAGUGGUGGGAACAAGAGUUGAAGAACAUAACGCAAAAUUGGAAACGACUCACCCACAAUUUGAUAAAUUCCAACUAUAAGUAGGGAUCCAAAAAGUGAAAUUGAAACAUACACCUGAAAUUUUAAAAUUCAAUAAAAAAAGUAGAAAUAUAAAACAAAAAACUAGUAGGAAAAAGAGUUGAUGAAUUUAACCGAAAAGUACGAACAAUUUACCAGGAAUUUGAUAAAUUUCAACAGGAAGUAGGGAUAUAAGAAGUGAACUUGAAACAUCCACCCAAAAUAUUGAAAUUUAAUAAAAAGAGCAGGAAUAAAUAACCAAAAAGUAGUGGGAAUAUGAAUUGAAGAGCCUAACCCAAAACUUGGAAUAACUUAGCAAGAAAUCGAUAUAUUUUAAAGAGAAGUAGGGAUCUAAAAAUGAACUUAAAAUAUCCAUCCAAAAUAUUGAAAUUCCAUAAAAAGAGUAGAAACAUAAAAGGAAAAACUGGUGGUAAUAACAGUUGAUAACUUUAACCUAAAAGUCGGAAUAACCUAACAAAGAAAUUGAUAAAUUUUAACAGGAAAUGGGGAUCUAAAAAGUGAACUUGAAACUCUCACCCAAAAUAUUAGAAUUCAAUAAAAGGAAUAGGAAUAUAGAAUCAAAAAGUAGUGGCAACAAGAGUUGAUGAACUCAACCCAAAAAUUGGAAUAAUGGACUAAGAAUUUGAUAAAUUCCAAUGCGAAGUAGGGCUCUAAAAGUAAACUAGAAAUAUCUACCGAAAAUGUUGAAACUCUAUAAAAAUAGUUGGAAUUUAGGACUUAAAAGUGGUGGGAAAAUGAGUUGGAAUAACUUACCAGAAAUUAGAUAAAGGCUAAUGGAAUGUAGGAAUGUUGAAAGUAAACUUAAAAUAUCCACGUAAAAAGUUGGAAUUUAAUGAAAAAAGUGAAAAUAUAGAACCAAAAACUGGUGGAAAAAUAAGUUGAAAUAACUUACCAAAAUUUAGAUAAAUCGUAACAAAAAAAUAGGAAUUUGAAAAGUAAACUCGAAACAUGCACUAUAAAUAUUGAAAUGUGACAAAAUAAGUGGGAAUAUAGUUAUUUUGUGACUUGUUUAUAAUACUUGUAUAGUUUCUUAUACUAUUUAUAAAUUUAAAAUUAUUAUAUUCUUUUGCUUCAUUUAAUUACAAUUUUAUCUUUUUUUUCCUAUUUUUUUCAUAUUUUUUUCGCAUUAAAAACAAAUUAAAAUGUAAUAUUUAUUAUGUUAACCGGUUAAAAACCGGUUGUACUGGUUGCGUGCAUGCGCUGUAUGAGAUACAGCGCUGCACUGUAGGUUGACUCUAGAAGAAAUUCAAAGAAAUAAGACAAGGAAAAAGAGUGUAAGAGAAAUAGCUAGAUGUAGACAUGCUAUUAUUAUUCUUUGCUCAGAAAUGAAUGAGCUUGUUCAUAGGUUUAUCCUCUUUUUGUACAAAAGCAGAAGUGAACAAAAUGAACAAAAUCAGUUAACUGAAGUCGGAUGUGACACCAACUUCGGCUUGUAUCAUAAAAGAUUGGAAUUUUUUUUGUUACCCUUUUGGCCCCCCCUCCAAAGAUGUUGUGCCUUUCAACAUCAUUCAUCAAAUCUCGCAAAGACGCCUACAUAGUUGAAGAAACGGCACGCCCGAGUGAUUUUCAAGAGUUCAAUUAAAAUGAAAACAACAGUUGCCUGACUUAGAACAAUUAAAUAUUAACAUAUACCAAACUAAAGUCUAUAUCAUCACCAGAUUUUAACUUGUCUUGACCGUCUAUUCCAAAGGAAAUAACCAGAAAUAAGAGCUAGAUGGGUACAAUUAUAUAAUCGACAAGUACUGUCAAGUAAUGAUUUUCAUAAACAAAACUGCCAAAACAAUGUGUUCCACUAUAACAGAAGAACAAUAAGACCCACAAUGCCAACAGGUAACUACCCCUAGUCCACGGCAAUACAGCUAAAAUGUCAUGUUUAACAAUACCAGAGCCAAAAGUCCACCACUUAUUUUGCACUGUUAUAUAUAUGAACAAGAAGAAUAACAUGUUCAUAUAUCUGCCAAACAACAUGAGGUUUUUACCGCACUGGCUGCUGGUUAUAAUGGUUCUUCUCUUUUUUCUUAGCUGCAGCAAGCCUUGCAUUUCUUGCAGCAGCCUCUUGGGCCGCUGCUUUUGCAGCAGCAUCCAUCUCUUUACUAGACUUCUUCUUCUUAGAAGAAGCCAACUUCUUUAACCGUCCUUUCACAUCAACAGCAGAUGCAUCAUCAUCUGCGUGUUCAGAUCCACCAGCAUUAUCUGGAUCAUUAGUGGCAUCCGAAUUAUUAGGCUGCUCAUGCGAUUCCUUCACAUCUUUGGAAGAUUUAUCCUUCUUUUUCUUCUUCUUAGCACUUUUAGAUUCACCAGGUGCAUUUUCCUUCCUUUCUUCCUCUCCAUUUAGCUCUGCAUCUUUCUUGUCUUGUGCAACAUCUGCACAUUAAAAUAAUUCAUUUUUAGAAAAUGAAUAGAAAAGCAAGUUGGUCCAUAAAUCAUUAGUUAGUGCUUGUAGCAUGCAUGAGUGUUAAAGCACAUGCAUGUGUGCGUAUCAGCAUUAAAGAGAGAGACGAGUGAGAGAGGUGAGAAUUCAGCUUCCCCCCACCACACCGGGGGGAUUUCCCGACUCAAGAGUUGAGAGCGUGAAUGAUCAAAAAGGAGAGAAAAAGUAUGUCAGAGAUUUUUCAAUAAAGAAUGUUAAAGAACACAUAUUUUAACAAAUGACUGAGGGAUAUUAAUGCAUAUUUUAACAAAUGACUUAAGGAAAUUUACUGCAAGCAAACAACGUAAACCACUUUUCCAUGUGCUACAGACAUAAUUCUUGACUUGAGAAUUAGAAACCUUCCAAAAAAAAAAAAAAAGUAGCAUUCAAACAGUCUAUUUACCAUGUGAUUCAUUUUGGCUAUUACUUCCCUCUUUUGGGGCAACCCCAAAAUCAGCUAGAAGAGCCUCAAGCUCUGCCAGUUCUUUCUUCUUCCUCUCCUUCUUCGAGAGUUGCCUUUCUGACUCCUUAGGUACUACAGAAACUUCAGGAGGCUUCACCACAGGCUCAUGGUGCACUGGGACCUCAGGUUCACGAUCAUGCUCUUCCUCUACCUCGUCAUCCCCUUCAUCUAGGAUAUCUUCUUCACUUUCACUCUCCUGUAAUCCCAAAUAGCCAAUGGUCAAGCCACCACGUAGGACUUACAUGUCAAAACGUAUAAAACUACUAUUUAAGGCACUCAAAUUGCUAUAACACACUACAACAUACAAAGUUGUGUGAUCACCGAUCAUAAAUCUGUGAAAAAUAUUAGCAUAAAAGUGAUAGCGCAGUGCAAACAUAGGGAGAACAUUCAAUCACACAAUUGCCAUCUUCUCCCACAAUGACCAAACACUUCUAACAUCCAGGUUUCAACCUGACCAACGAAAAAACCAAAUAUAUUUGAAAUAUCCAGCACUAUAGUACAACAGUCUCAUGAAAAGAUACUGAAGAAGGAAAUAUAAAUGAAUGAUUCCAAAUUCAGCAAGUCCAAGGUUAGCUACAUAGACGCGUUGCUUGCACCCCGCCACACAGUAAGUACCAAGUUAAUUGACAUAAUAUAAAUGGCACCGUCUAGGAUAGAAAUGGCUUGCAGAGACCAAAUGAACUUGUUUAUGUAAAGAAGAGAAAGUAAAAAAACAAAAAGAAAUGGGAUCAUUCAUAACUACCUAAGAAAUAACUGAAAAGUGAUUAUCCAACAGGGUAUUUAAAAAACUUCAAAUGAUUUUCACUAAACUUCUAGAAGUUGAAAAUAUCAAAGAAGUAUAUUGAAUAAGCAUAAUUAAACUAAUAUGCAUAAAAAUAAAUCAAAUAGGCUAAGAGGAUAUGUACUAAUGUUAUAAUAGAACUGACCCUCAACAAACAAUAAUAAUAAUAAUAAUAAUAACAAUAAUAAUAAUUACCAUCCUAAACUAAUUUCACCCAGUGUGAAUAAGUCAUCGAAAUAUGUACAUCAUCAAAACAAGAAUCGCCGUCAAAAUCAACCACAAAUUAGACGUGUCACAGCCCCCAACCCUCAAAAUCAAAAUAUAAUAAAAGGAGUUGUUUUCACUGUUUCUCUUAAGAUUUUAUCCAAACUUAGUAAUCUAUAGAUACAUAUAAAUACACGAGAAAUUUAAACGACGUAGUAUCUCACCUCGACGUUGGCGGGCUUCUCCUCCUCCUCUUGGCUCGGCGCCGGCGCGUCAGACGAUCCCCAUGCGACCGGGGGAGGAGCCGUGGUGGCGUAGUAAUCAUCAUCGUCAUCGUCAUCGACGUCAGCCCACGACUUAACUUUCAACGGCGAAGGGGCCCAGAACACCUUUGGCUCCUCGGUCUGUUUGUUCUGCUGCUGCGAUUUGGAGGAACCUUUGCUUUUCGAUGACCCUUUCUCUUUAUCGGACUUCUUCUUCUUCCUUAGAGUCUCCAAAGCAGCAAACACGUUCGUGUUGUUGAUCACCAGCGAUCCAUCGUCUCUCCUUCCACCACCGACCAUUUUGUUCUCCCUAUAAAUUUCGAUCUAGGGGUGUAAAUGAUCAAAGAGUCCAGAAUUGGGGGAAAAUAUACUAAUUGUUAAAAUAUAAAGGAUUGAAUUGUAAUUUGCCGCAAAAAUUUAUUGAUUUUAUUCAAAUCUGGAUGUCGACAAAUUACGAUUGAAGAAAAUAACUAACAAACAAGCCGAAAACUAAAUUUGUACGAAAUGCGAUGAAAGGGGUCGCGAUUGUAGAUAAUAACUCCUAAAUGAUUGUCCUGAAAGGCAAGCGAGAUUGAUUGUAGAGAGCGAGAGCGAGAGAGAGAGAGAGAGAGAGAGGACGUAAAGAGAGUUCUAGAGAGAGAAAAUUAGGGUUUGAAACGACAGAGGAGAGCUUCACGACACGGCCGCUAUGCAGAUGCAGCGGUUGCUGUUGUGAUGAAUGUACUAGUAGGGCUUUCGUAUUGAGAGAUAACGUAAUGGGAGGAAGGAACACGAAAGGUUGAUAUUUAUAUGGUGAACGUGGUUUGUAACUAAACAGUCCAUUUAUUUUGUUAGUAUUGCAGAUUAGGUGCCGAUAGUUUUCCAAAAUUACAUUGCAGGGGCCAGUGUUACAGAAUGAAAUUAGGAGGAAACGUUGUCGUUUUGAGUGUCGAGUUCACGUAAUCAAACAAAAUCGCCAGGGGGAUUUUUUAUAUAUAUUAUUAUUAUUUUUAUUUUUUUUUUAACAGAAGGAAAUCAAACGUAAUAGUGGUACGACACCUGGUUGGUCAACAUUUGAACACCUCUUUAGGACUCGGAAACAUAACAUUUCACCGAUGUCGAUUUCUGAGUCAACCUACAGUGCAGCGCUGUAUCUCAUACAGCGCAUGCACGCAACCAGUACAACCGGUUUUUAACCGGUUAACAUAAUAAAUAUUACAUUUUAAUUUGUUUUUAAUGCGAAAAAAAUAUGAAAAAAAUAGGAAAAAAAAGAUAAAAUUGUAAUUAAAUGAAGCAAAAGAAUAUAAUAAUUUUAAAUUUAUAAAUAGUAUAAGAAACUAUACAAGUAUUAUAAACAAGUCACAAAAUAACUAUAUUCCCACUUAUUUUGUCACAUUUCAAUAUUUAUAGUGCAUGUUUCGAGUUUACUUUUCAAAUUCCUAUUUUUUUGUUACGAUUUAUCUAAAUUUUGGUAAGUUAUUUCAACUUAUUUUUCCACCAGUUUUUGGUUCUAUAUUUUCACUUUUUUCAUUAAAUUCCAACUUUUUACGUGGAUAUUUUAAGUUUACUUUCAACAUUCCUACAUUCCAUUAGCCUUUAUCUAAUUUCUGGUAAGUUAUUCCAACUCAUUUUCCCACCACUUUUAAGUCCUAAAUUCCAACUAUUUUUAUAGAGUUUCAACAUUUUCGGUAGAUAUUUCUAGUUUACUUUUAGAGCCCUACUUCGCAUUGGAAUUUAUCAAAUUCUUAGUCCAUUAUUCCAAUUUUUGGGUUGAGUUCAUCAACUCUUGUUGCCACUACUUUUUGAUUCUAUAUUCCUAUUCCUUUUAUUGAAUUCUAAUAUUUUGGGUGAGAGUUUCAAGUUCACUUUUUAGAUCCCCAUUUCCUGUUAAAAUUUAUCAAUUUCUUUGUUAGGUUAUUCCGACUUUUAGGUUAAAGUUAUCAACUGUUAUUACCACCAGUUUUUCCUUUUAUGUUUCUACUCUUUUUAUGGAAUUUCAAUAUUUUGGAUGGAUAUUUUAAGUUCAUUUUUAGAUCCCUACUUCUCUUUAAAAUAUAUCGAUUUCUUGCUAAGUUAUUCCAAGUUUUGGGUUAGGCUCUUCAAUUCAUAUUCCCACUACUUUUUGGUUAUUUAUUCCUGCUCUUUUUAUUAAAUUUCAAUAUUUUGGGUGGAUGUUUCAAGUUCACUUCUUAUAUCCCUACUUCCUGUUGAAAUUUAUCAAAUUCCUGGUAAAUUGUUCGUACUUUUCGGUUAAAUUCAUCAACUCUUUUUCCUACUAGUUUUUUGUUUUAUAUUUCUACUUUUUUUAUUGAAUUUUAAAAUUUCAGGUGUAUGUUUCAAUUUCACUUUUUGGAUCCCUACUUAUAGUUGGAAUUUAUCAAAUUGUGGGUGAGUCGUUUCCAAUUUUGCGUUAUGUUCUUCAACUCUUGUUCCCACCACUUUUUGGUUCUAUAUUUCUACUUUUUUUAAUGAAUUCCAAUAUUUUGAAUAGAAGUUUCAAGUUUAUUUUUUAGAUUCCAACUUGUCAUUAGAAUUUAUCAAAUUCUUAAUAAGUCAUUCCAACUUUUAUGUUAAGUUCUUCAACUUUUAUUUCCAGUACCUUUUAGUUAUAUAUUCCAGGUUUUUUUUAAUGAAUUCCAACAUUUUGGGUGAAAGUUUCAAAUUCAAUUCUUAGUCCCUAUUUCCCAUUGGAAUUUAUCAAACUAUCGUUGCGUAAUUCCAACUUUCAGGUUAACUCUCCCACUUUUUUCCCACUAUUUUUUGGUUCUAUAUACCAAGACUUUUUAUUGAAUUCCAACAUGUAGGUGUGUGUUUCAAGUUUAUUUUUCAUGUCUCUAGUUCCCAUUGAAAUUUACUAAAUCAUCAGUAAGUCGUUCCAAUUUAUGGGUUCAGCUCUUUAAUAGUUACUUCUACCAUUUUUUUGGUUUUAUAUUCCAAAUGUUUUUACUGUAUGCCAACAUUUUAGGUGGUUGUUACGAGUCACAUUUUAUUAUAGUAAAACAUUAAAAUAUUGAGGUAAAUUGCGUUUGACCCCGCUUUUUUUUAAUAAAUAUCAACUUACAAUAUAAUUUUGAAAAAUCAUUGUUGCAACCCUCAAUUUUUUUCAACACUAUGAAUUUGUAUAAGUCCACUCCCCUCCCCCCCGGCCCCCAACGGUCUUUGUUACUUCAUGGUAUUUCUUGAAUUUAAUCGUAUGUAUACUUUAAACUUUUGAUCUUUUACAUAUUAAUGCUCAUUUUAUUAUUUUACAUAAUUGUGCUUAGAUCUGCUGUACGGCCAAGGCGGAUGUACGGUACAGCAGAAGUCACAAAAAAUUCUAUGAAUUGUUAUAGGAGCUUAUACAUGAUUACAUGUAAUGUUAAUAUUUAAUGAUAUUGUUUUAUUACUAGUAUUAUGAUUAAUGAUACUAUAACUCUUAAUAUCCAUUACUAAUGUUGUUAAUAAGUAUCUUUGUUAGCCUUACUAUUAUUAUUGGUAAAUUGAACACAUAUAUGAUAAUUUUAUCAAUAUCACUUUUCUUUUAAUCAAAAUGAGCGUAUGUUCUAAAUAUAACAACAUUUUAUCGUAAUAAACUUUUUAAUAAUUUAUUGAGAAAUGUUGCUAAUUAUCAUUGUAAAUUAUUGUCGACAUUAUACUAUAAAAGCUAAAUAAUUAAUAAUGUAACUAUAAUAUUACAUUGUUAUUUAAAAUAAAGUAUGUAUCUCUUUGUAUAUUUAUGGGAGUAGGUUUUUGAGUUAAUAUUCGGUGGAUCGUUGGACUUUACCAUAAAGUGCAUGUAUACAGAUUAUCAAAUACCAUUAAAUUAUAGUUUAUAAUGUACAUAUAAAUUGUAAAUUUAAAAAAAUUAUAUAAUAUAUUACUCUAAAUAGUAUUCAAUUAAUUUUUUUUAUUUUGAUAUAACACUAAAAGAAUUUUGCUUCAUCUAGGCAGGAAAACUACUGCCUAAAUGAAAACAUAUUUACCCAUUUUCACAAUUUUUAAUUCUAAUAAUUUUUGUAUAUUAUUUAAAUUUUCAUAUUUUAUAUUAUUAUUCUUGAUACUUUUUUUUUAAAAUAACUUUAUUUAUUGUUCAGAAACCUAAAAAGAAAAUAUAAAAUUUAUUUUUUAAAAUUUCAUCAAAAAAUAUAUCCUUUAGGCCUAAGGUUUCGUUUGUCGCUUCAUACAUUAAGAUAUAUAUUUUUUAAUCAUUAUUAAUUUUUUUCACGAUUAAUGUUCUUAAUUUUUUUCUUGUCUUGUUAAAGUUUUGUAAUUAACUUAAAUUAUAUAACAUUUUGAAUUGUCAUUUCAUUUUUUUAUAAGUCUUUUUUUUUAAUGUUUUAUGCUUCCAAUAUAGAAUGAUUGGCAAGGGAAAAUAUUGCAAAGCAUUUGACGCAGAAACUGCUAUUGGCAUCCUCUCAAGUGGUUGAAUCCAAGUAAGGCUGGUGAGCAGCCCAAGCUUCAGCUGGCUGUCUCCAGAUCAAAGGGGAAAUAGAAAUAAUAAAAUUAGUUUUCUAUAAUCCCUUGGGAUUAUUUUAUCUUUUUUUCUCUAAUGGUGCAUAGUUGAGUAGUGAACAAGAAUU
RNAcentral lists this long non-coding RNA (12638 nucleotides) under Citrus sinensis (sweet orange). RNAcentral's name for it is "long non-coding RNA (CSIN_LNC001849)". The record is from RNAcentral. Lineage: Eukaryota; Viridiplantae; Streptophyta; Magnoliopsida; Sapindales; Rutaceae.